This 433-nucleotide ribosomal RNA is filed under the name uncultured bacterium. RNAcentral describes it as "partial 16S ribosomal RNA". It matches the Rfam family "Bacterial small subunit ribosomal RNA", at positions 29 to 507 of the family's 1533-position model. The record is from RNAcentral.
AACGAACGCUGGCGGCAUGCCUAACACAUGCAAGUCGAACGAGACCUUCGGGUCUAGUUGCUCACGGGUGCGUAACGCGUGGGAACCUGCCCUUAGGUUCGGAAUACCUCCCCGAAAGGGGUGCUAAUACCGGAUAAUGUCUUCGGACCAAAGAUUUAUCGCCUUUGGAUGGGCCCGCGUUGGAUUAGCGAGUUGGUAGGGUAAAAGCCUACCAAGGCGACGAUCCAUAGCUGUUCUGAGAGGAUGGUCAGCCACACUGGAACUGGGACACGGCCCAGACUACUACGGGAGGCAGCAGUGGGGAAUAUUGGACAAUGGGCGAAAGCCUGAUCCAGCAAUGCCGCGUGAGUGAUGAAGGCCUUAGGGUUGUAAAGCUCUUUUACCCGGGAUGAUAAUGACAGUACCGGGAGAAUAAGCUCCGGCUAACUCCGUG